AUUGAACGCUGGCGGAAUGCUUUACACAUGCAAGUCGAACGGUAGAGGGGGCGACCCUUCGAGAGUGGCGAACGGGUGAGUAAUAUAUCGGAACGUGCCCAGUCGUGGGGGAUAACGUAGCGAAAGUUACGCUAAUACCGCAUACGAUCUAAGGAUGAAAGCGGGGGAUCGCAAGACCUCGCGCGAUUGGAGCGGCCGAUAUCAGAUUAGGUAGUUGGGGGGGUAAAGGCUCACCAAGCCAACGAUCUGUAGCUGGUCUGAGAGGACGACCAGCAACACUGGAACUGAGACACGGUCCAGACUCCUACGGGAGGCAGCAGUGGGGAAUUUUGGACAAUGGACGCAAGUCUGAUCCAGCCAUUCCGCGUGCAGGAUGAAGGCCCUCGGGUUGUAAACUGCUUUUGUACGGAACGAAAAGGUCUCUCUUAAUACGGGGGGCUCAUGACGGUACCGUAAGAAUAAGCACCGGCUAACUACGUGCCAGCCGCCGCAGUAA
This 496-nucleotide ribosomal RNA is filed under the name uncultured bacterium. RNAcentral describes it as "partial 16S ribosomal RNA". It matches the Rfam family "Bacterial small subunit ribosomal RNA", at positions 30 to 523 of the family's 1533-position model. The record is from RNAcentral.